This 509-nucleotide ribosomal RNA is filed under the name Fusarium sp. CJL-2014. RNAcentral describes it as "eukaryotic LSU rRNA". The stretch from base 127 to 280 matches the Rfam family "5.8S ribosomal RNA". Lineage: Eukaryota; Fungi; Ascomycota; Sordariomycetes; Hypocreales; Nectriaceae. The record is from RNAcentral.
UGUGACAUACCUUAAUGUUGCCUCGGCGGAUCAGCCCGCGCCCCGUAAAACGGGACGGCCCGCCAGAGGACCCAAACUCUAAUGUUUCUUAUUGUAACUUCUGAGUAAAACAAACAAAUAAAUCAAAACUUUCAACAACGGAUCUCUUGGUUCUGGCAUCGAUGAAGAACGCAGCAAAAUGCGAUAAGUAAUGUGAAUUGCAGAAUUCAGUGAAUCAUCGAAUCUUUGAACGCACAUUGCGCCCGCUGGUAUUCCGGCGGGCAUGCCUGUUCGAGCGUCAUUUCAACCCUCAAGCCCCCGGGUUUGGUGUUGGGGAUCGGCUCUGCCUUCUGGCGGUGCCGCCCCCGAAAUACAUUGGCGGUCUCGCUGCAGCCUCCAUUGCGUAGUAGCUAACACCUCGCAACUGGAACGCGGCGCGGCCAUGCCGUAAAACCCCAACUUCUGAAUGUUGACCUCGGAUCAGGUAGGAAUACCCGCUGAACUUAAGCAUAUCAAUAAGACGGAGGAAA